This 357-nucleotide ribosomal RNA is filed under the name Triticum aestivum (bread wheat). RNAcentral describes it as "partial small subunit ribosomal RNA". The record is from RNAcentral. Lineage: Eukaryota; Viridiplantae; Streptophyta; Magnoliopsida; Poales; Poaceae.
AUGCCGCCGGAGCAGCGUUCACCGGCGACGAGAUGUGUUCCCGUCGCGCUCGUCCUCAUCCGAGGAUCCGCCAGGGAGCUGCGUCUCGGGCGCGACGCCGUUCGUCAGUCCCAGCGCAGUUCGACCGCCCGUGCAAGGCAAAGGCGGAGGAGUGGCAGGCGCGACGGCCCGACAGUGUCCGCGUCGACAACCACAUCGCUGGCUUCGGCUUCAACAACCGCAGGGGUUGGAGACGGCAGCGCCGCGGCCUCGUUGUCGUCGUCGUCGAUUAUGACGACCUCGUCCGGCUGGCCGGUGCUCAAGUCCCGGCACGGCGGUCGAUGGCGGCCAUGGUGCGGCCGUAAAGCCUCUCCGUGA